UAUAACGACUCUCGGCAACGGAUAUCUCGGCUCUCGCAUCGAUGAAGAACGUAGCGAAAUGCGAUACUUGGUGUGAAUUGCAGAAUCCCGUGAACCAUCGAGUCUUUGAACGCAAGUUGCGCCCGAAGCCAUCCGGUCGAGGGCACGUCUGCCUGGGCGUCACACACU
RNAcentral lists this ribosomal RNA (168 nucleotides) under Maclura tricuspidata. RNAcentral describes it as "5.8S ribosomal RNA". It matches the Rfam family "5.8S ribosomal RNA". Rfam says of the family: 5.8S ribosomal RNA (5.8S rRNA) is a component of the large subunit of the eukaryotic ribosome. Lineage: Eukaryota; Viridiplantae; Streptophyta; Magnoliopsida; Rosales; Moraceae. The record is from RNAcentral.